GCCAGGCGUAGUGGCGGGCGCCUGUAGUCCCAGCUACUAGGGAGGUUGAGGCAGGAGAAUCACUUGAACUGGGGAGGCAGGGGUUGCAGUGAGCCGAGAUCAUGCCACUGCACUCCAUCCUUGGUGACAGAGUGAGACUCCGUCUCAA
This 148-nucleotide non-coding RNA is filed under the name Gorilla gorilla gorilla (western lowland gorilla). The record is from Rfam by way of RNAcentral. Lineage: Eukaryota; Metazoa; Chordata; Mammalia; Primates; Hominidae.